RNAcentral lists this transfer RNA (73 nucleotides) under Sus scrofa (pig). It matches the Rfam family "tRNA". Rfam says of the family: Transfer RNA (tRNA) molecules are approximately 80 nucleotides in length. Their secondary structure includes four short double-helical elements and three loops (D, anti-codon, and T loops). Further hydrogen bonds mediate the characteristic L-shaped molecular structure. tRNAs have two regions of fundamental functional importance: the anti-codon, which is responsible for specific mRNA codon recognition, and the 3' end, to which the tRNAs corresponding amino acid is attached (by aminoacyl-tRNA synthetases). tRNAs cope with the degeneracy of the genetic code in two manners: having more than one tRNA (with a specific anti-codon) for a particular amino acid; and 'wobble' base-pairing, i.e. permitting non-standard base-pairing at the 3rd anti-codon position. Lineage: Eukaryota; Metazoa; Chordata; Mammalia; Artiodactyla; Suidae. The record is from Rfam by way of RNAcentral.
UCCUUGGUGGUCUAAUUGUUAGGACUCAGCGCUUUCAACUUCUGCAGCCCAAGUUCAAUCCUUGGUCUGGGAA